RNAcentral lists this long non-coding RNA (991 nucleotides) under Amphibalanus amphitrite. RNAcentral describes it as "uncharacterized LOC122383470". The record is from RNAcentral. Lineage: Eukaryota; Metazoa; Arthropoda; Thecostraca; Balanomorpha; Balanidae.
AAUUCCGUUGAUAUUAUAUUAUUUAUCUUGGUCUGUGAGCAAUGAGCAUAAACUGUGAAGAAUGGAGUGAGGUCAUGGAUGAAGUAUUCCUAAUCCUCAGGAAUACCUAAUUCAUGGUGAGGUUGAGCCAAGUCAUAGCCAGAUGAUUAUCAACUUGUACUUGUAGUCAUGGUAAUGUGGUCGAUCAAAGCAAAUGAUGAACUGAACUUUUUAAAUAGGUAUCUAUAACCUAUCCAAAGAGAAGAACAUGCUGUAAAGCUAGAUUUCUCAAUGUAAGCAGUCUGUUCCAAGCACUGUUCUUCUGAAAAUGUUCAUCCAGACAUCCGACCAGCAACCUAUUCAGUGAUGCUGUGGCUGAUGGCGGAGGCAAAGCACCAACUGUUCUUGGUGCCUGGUGUGUGCACAAGUAGAUGAGUGCCGUUCAUCGCCGCCGUCUUCCUGGACCUUCGCUCAUCGCCGUCGUCUCGGUCGGAGCCUGCAAUUCGGUCGUCGCCGUCUGCCGGGGCCAGCCAGCUCCAGAUUGAUUCCUGCCUAUCGCCGCCGUUUGCGGGGACCUGCAAUGUCGCUGCCGUCGUCAGCCAGAGAAGCUGGUCACAGUCAUCGAAGAGCAGUGAUCUCCGCCGUUCGAAGAGCUGUGUAAUAUAUAUCAUGUGUUGUCGCCUGUCAGUCCCCAGUGGAGUUCUCAUGUGCUGUCCGUCGACUGGCGAGUCCCAUGAUAUGACAUCUGAGGAUCACCCACCGGCCACCGUUUACCGGCGACUCUGAGGGCCGUCAGCCCCGAGUCCCUAGAUAUCCUCAGCUCGCACCCGGCAGCAGUCUCUGUCGCAUCUGGAGUGUAUUCUAUUCUAAAUACUUGAUGCAUUGCGCUGCUUCUUGUGUUAAUCUGUUGGGAAACUUGGAAAGUGUUAACAACGGUAUAUGUGGGAAGUGGAAGCCGUGUAAAGUCGUCUGCGUAUUCAUUUCAACGGUGGUUAAUGCGAAGUGAUAUUGG